Phalaenopsis equestris is the source of this 375-nucleotide long non-coding RNA. RefSeq lists it as uncharacterized. Lineage: Eukaryota; Viridiplantae; Streptophyta; Magnoliopsida; Asparagales; Orchidaceae. The record is from RefSeq and is a predicted model, not a curated record. The transcript has 3 exons.
CUCGCCUUCCUUGCUCCGACGCUCGCAUCUCUCUCCCCUCUGUUUCGUCCAAAACCAUCAUCGCCUUCUUCACCGAGCCCUCGCGAUACAGUCACAAUUAGAGCUAGCUGGGAACGCAACGACGGGAUGGCGGCUUAGAGAGUCCCGAAACUCCCAUUUUGUUUUCCUCCUCCUGUUCCUCUCUUACCCGAAACCUUUGAGGAAGAAACCCUUGACGAACAAAGAAGCACGGAAGUCGCGACGGGAGGUUGCUGGUGAAGGCAUCGAUGAGAUCGCGACGUUCGUGUUUCUUCUCCUUUUACUACUAGCUGAAUUGUAGAAGAAAAAUAAGCGAAGACGUAGCGGCGGGAGCUUGCUAGCAAAGAAGCAGGGAAG